ACCCAGUUCUUGAAGCUUGUCUUAGAGCAGAACACAAGUGUGGUAGAUUCACUACGGAUCAGGAAUCUUCUCUUGUUCAUGUCCCAUGUGACACUCCAGAACCUACACAGGAGAGCAACCAAAUUUUUGAUUCUGUAAAUACAGCUGACGACAGCAGCUGUACAAUGAACACCUCUACUAAAUCUAUUCCUCCUCUGGUAACAGACGUGUGGUUGCUCCUGAUCAUACCCGUGGUGUGGUUGCUAGCACUCAUCCUAUUGUUUAUGUCAAGGACAUGACAACUAGUCCACCGAGUGUUCCGAAGAGCUCCCAGCAACUAAAAGAAUGAAAAAGUUGCUGCUGUAGCAGAACAUUAAUUCUUUAAAAGAAGAACACAUCAAGUAUCAAUCUGUAAGGAAGAUUUUAUAAAAAAUAGAAAUUGUAAAUUUAAAUAUUUAUCUGAAAGGUGACACAGUAUAUAUUGAAUUCUGUAUGUGUUUGUAAUAUUUUCCCAUUAAAAUGCAUUAUGCAAAUA
Long non-coding RNA from Peromyscus leucopus (white-footed mouse), 514 nucleotides. RefSeq lists it as uncharacterized. Lineage: Eukaryota; Metazoa; Chordata; Mammalia; Rodentia; Cricetidae. The record is from RefSeq and is a predicted model, not a curated record. The transcript has 2 exons.